CUACGGGUGACUGCAGUGGGGAAUAUUGCACAAUGGGGGAAACCCUGAUGCAGCAACGCCGCGUGGAGGAUGACGCAUUUCGGUGUGUAGACUCCUUUUAUAUAGGAAGAUAAUGACGGUACUAUAUGAAUAAGCACCGGCUAACUCCGUGCCAGCAGCCGCGGUAAUACGGAGGGUGCAAGCGUUACUCGGAAUCACUGGGCGUAAAGCGCGCGCAGGCGGCCCCUUAAGUUGGAUGUGAAAGCCUACGGCUUAACCGUAGAACUGCAUCCAAAACUGAGGGGCUAGAGUCUGGGAGGGGAAGAUGGAAUUAGUUGUGUAGGGGUAAAAUCCGUAGAGAUAACUAGGAAUACCAAAAGCGAAGGCGAUCUUCUGGAACAGUACUGACGCUGAGGCGCGAAAGCGUGGGGAGCAAACAGGAUUAGAUACCCCCGUAGUC
RNAcentral lists this ribosomal RNA (439 nucleotides) under uncultured bacterium. RNAcentral's name for it is "partial 16S ribosomal RNA". It matches the Rfam family "Bacterial small subunit ribosomal RNA", at positions 339 to 795 of the family's 1533-position model. The record is from RNAcentral.